GGGGUUGUAGCUCAAUGGUAGAGUGCCUGUCAUGUGUGAGGCACUGGGUUCGAUCCUCAGCACCACA
This 67-nucleotide transfer RNA is filed under the name Marmota monax (woodchuck). Its description in RNAcentral is "tRNA.Undet". Lineage: Eukaryota; Metazoa; Chordata; Mammalia; Rodentia; Sciuridae. The record is from RNAcentral.